AGCUCCAAUAGCGUAUAUUAAAGUUGUUGCAGUUAAAAAGCUCGUAGUUGAAUUUCUGGCCAGUCCUGCACUGCGCAGUUUGCCGGUGUAGGGCUUGGUCAUCCGUAGGGGAAUCCAGUUCGGCCUUCACUGGUCGGCUGGUGGAACCUACAAUUUACUUUGAGAAAAUUAGAGUGUUUCAGGCAGGCAAUCGCUUGGAUACUCCAGCAUGGAAUAAUGGAAUAGGACUUUGGUCUAUUU
RNAcentral lists this ribosomal RNA (240 nucleotides) under uncultured Colpodea. RNAcentral's name for it is "partial small subunit ribosomal RNA". It matches the Rfam family "Eukaryotic small subunit ribosomal RNA", at positions 587 to 840 of the family's 1831-position model. Lineage: Eukaryota; Ciliophora; Colpodea. The record is from RNAcentral.